CUGCGCUCUCUCCUUAAUCCCUAUGUAUAUUUAAACAAAUGGCAGGCGGGCAUUCCCUCCAUUUGACCUCCAUUUGUCUAAAUAUACAUAGGGAUUAAGGAGAGAGCACAGGU
Non-coding RNA from Pelobates cultripes (western spadefoot toad), 113 nucleotides. The record is from the annotation of a GenBank genome assembly. NCBI's taxonomy places the organism in Eukaryota, Metazoa, Chordata, Amphibia, Anura, Pelobatidae.